UACGUAGGGGGCUAGCGUUGUCCGGAUUUAUUGGGCGUAAAGAGCGUGUAGGCGGCCAUGUAGGUCCGGUGUGAAAACUCAAGGCUUAACCUCGAGAUGUCAUCGGAAACCAUUUGGCUAGAGUCCGGAAGAGGAGAGUGGAAUUCCUGGUGUAGCGGUGAAAUGCGCAGAUAUCAGGAAGAACACCAAUGGCGAAAGCAGCUCUCUGGGACGGUACUGACGCUGAGGAGUGAAAGCGUGGGGAGCAAACAGG
RNAcentral lists this ribosomal RNA (253 nucleotides) under uncultured bacterium. Its description in RNAcentral is "partial 16S ribosomal RNA". It matches the Rfam family "Bacterial small subunit ribosomal RNA", at positions 524 to 776 of the family's 1533-position model. The record is from RNAcentral.